Molecule: unclassified non-coding RNA, 211 nt
Filed under: plant metagenome
Description: partial contains small subunit ribosomal RNA, internal transcribed spacer 1, and 5.8S ribosomal RNA
Source: RNAcentral
UUUCCGUAGGUGAACCUGCGGAAGGAUCAUUCAUAAUAAAGUGUUUUAUGGCACUUUUUAAAAAUCCAUAUCCACCUUGUGUGCAAUGUUAGAUCUCGUCAAUCUUGGCGAGAUUUUUAUACAUCAACUCAUUCUUUAACUAAUUUGUCUGAAAAAUAUUAUGUAUACUUAAUUCAAAAUACAACUUUCAACAACGGAUCUCUUGGCUCUC